RNAcentral lists this ribosomal RNA (740 nucleotides) under uncultured bacterium. Its description in RNAcentral is "bacterial SSU rRNA". It matches the Rfam family "Bacterial small subunit ribosomal RNA", at positions 94 to 823 of the family's 1533-position model. The record is from RNAcentral.
AGCGGCGGACGGGUGAGUAACACGUGGGUAACCUGCCCAAGAGACUGGGAUAACACCUGGAAACAGAUGCUAAUACCGGAUAACAACACUAGACGCAUGUCUAGAGUUUGAAAGACGGUUCUGCUAUCACUCUUGGAUGGACCUGCGGUGCAUUAGCUAGUUGGUAAGGUAACGGCUUACCAAGGCAAUGAUGCAUAGCCGAGUUGAGAGACUGAUCGGCCACAUUGGGACUGAGACACGGCCCAAACUCCUACGGGAGGCAGCAGUAGGGAAUCUUCCACAAUGGACGAAAGUCUGAUGGAGCAACGCCGCGUGAGUGAAGAAGGGUUUCGGCUCGUAAAGCUCUGUUGGUAGUGAAGAAAGAUAGAGGUAGUAACUGGCCUUUAUUUGACGGUAAUUACUUAGAAAGUCACGGCUAACUACGUGCCAGCAGCCGCGGUAAUACGUAGGUGGCAAGCGUUGUCCGGAUUUAUUGGGCGUAAAGCGAGUGCAGGCGGUUCAAUAAGUCUGAUGUGAAGGCCUUCGGCUCAACCGGAGAAUUGCAUCAGAAACUGUUGAACUUGAGUGCAGAAGAGGAGAGUGGAACUCCAUGUGUAGCGGUGGAAUGCGUAGAUAUAUGGAAGAACACCAGUGGCGAACGCGGCUCUCUGGUCUGCAACUGACGCUGAGGCUCGAAAGCAUGGUAGCGAACAGGAUUAGAUACCCUGGUAGUCCAUGCCGUAACGAUGAGUGCUAAGUGU